Molecule: ribosomal RNA, 496 nt
Filed under: uncultured bacterium
Lineage: Bacteria
Description: partial 16S ribosomal RNA
Rfam family: Bacterial small subunit ribosomal RNA
Source: RNAcentral
GAUGAACGCUGGCGGCGUGCCUAAUACAUGCAAGUCGAGCGAACAGAUGAGGAGCUUGCUCCUCUGACGUUAGCGGCGGACGGGUGAGUAACACGUGGAUAACCUACCUAUAAGACUGGGAUAACUUCGGGAAACCGGAGCUAAUACCGGAUAAUAUAUUGAACCGCAUGGUUCAAUAGUGAAAGACGGUUUUGCUGUCACUUAUAGAUGGAUCCGCGCCGCAUUAGCUAGUUGGUAAGGUAACGGCUUACCAAGGCAACGAUGCGUAGCCGACCUGAGAGGGUGAUAGGCCACACUGGAACUGAGACACGGUCCAGACUCCUACGGGAGGCAGCAGUAGGGAAUCUUCCGCAAUGGGCGAAAGCCUGACGGAGCAACGCCGCGUGAGUGAUGAAGGUCUUCGGAUCGUAAAACUCUGUUAUUAGGGAAGAACAAAUGUGUAAGUAACUAUGCACGUCUUGACGGUACCUAAUCAGAAAACCACGGCUAACUACGU